GACGAACGCUGGCGGCGUGCUUAACACAUGCAAGUCGAACGGAAAGGCCCUGCUGUUGUGGGGUGCUCGAGUGGCGAACGAGUGAGUAACACGUGAGUAACCUGCCCUUGACUUUGGGAUAACUUCAGGAAACUGGGGCUAAUACCGGAUAGGAGCUCCUGCUGCAUGGUGGGGGUUGGAAAGUUUCGGCGGUUGGGGAUGGACUCGCGGCUUAUCAGCUUGUUGGUGGGGUAGUGGCUUACCAAGGCUUUGACGGGUAGCCGGCCUGAGAGGGUGACCGGCGACACUGGACCUGCGAUACGGCCCAGACUCCUACGGGAGGCAGCAGUGGGGAAUAUUGCACAAUGGGCGGAAGCCUGAUGCAGCAACGCCGCGUGCGGGAUGACGGCCUUCGGGUUGUAAACCGCUUUCGCCUGUGACGAAGCGUGAGUGACGGUAAUGGGUAAAGAAGCACCGGCUAACUACGUG
RNAcentral lists this ribosomal RNA (468 nucleotides) under uncultured bacterium. RNAcentral describes it as "partial 16S ribosomal RNA". It matches the Rfam family "Bacterial small subunit ribosomal RNA", at positions 28 to 507 of the family's 1533-position model. The record is from RNAcentral.